AACGUAGGAGACAAACGUUAUCCGGAGUUACUGGGCGUAAAGGGCGUGUAGGCGGUUAGUUAAGUCUGGCGUGAAAGCUCUCGGCUAAACCGGGAGAGGUCGUCGGAUACUGGCAAACUAGAGGAUGGUAGAGGCGUGUGGAAUUCCGGGUGUAGCGGUGGAAUGCGUAGAGAUCCGGAAGAACACCGGUGGCGAAGGCGGCCUGCUGGGCUAUGGCUGACACUGAGGCGCGACAGCGUGGGGAGCAAACAGG
Molecule: ribosomal RNA, 253 nt
Filed under: uncultured bacterium
Lineage: Bacteria
Description: partial 16S ribosomal RNA
Rfam family: Bacterial small subunit ribosomal RNA
Source: RNAcentral